This 105-nucleotide ribosomal RNA is filed under the name Enterobacter cloacae. The record is from RNAcentral. RNAcentral also lists the same sequence under 11 other names. Lineage: Bacteria; Pseudomonadati; Pseudomonadota; Gammaproteobacteria; Enterobacterales; Enterobacteriaceae.
UAGCGCGGUGGUCCCACCUGACCCCAUGCCGAACUCAGAAGUGAAACGCCGUAGCGCCGAUGGUAGUGUGGGGUCUCCCCAUGUGAGAGUAGGGAACUGCCAGAC